RNAcentral lists this ribosomal RNA (465 nucleotides) under Vreelandella stevensii. RNAcentral's name for it is "partial 16S ribosomal RNA". It matches the Rfam family "Bacterial small subunit ribosomal RNA", at positions 338 to 795 of the family's 1533-position model. The record is from RNAcentral. Lineage: Bacteria; Pseudomonadati; Pseudomonadota; Gammaproteobacteria; Oceanospirillales; Halomonadaceae.
CCUACGGGUGGCUGCAGUGGGGAAUAUUGGACAAUGGGGGGAACCCUGAUCCAGCCAUGCCGCGUGUGUGAAGAAGGCCCUCGGGUUGUAAAGCACUUUCAGUGAGGAAGAACGCCUAGUGGUUAAUACCCAUCAGGAAAGACAUCACUCACAGAAGAAGCACCGGCUAACUCCGUGCCAGCAGCCGCGGUAAUACGGAGGGUGCGAGCGUUAAUCGGAAUUACUGGGCGUAAAGCGCGCGUAGGUGGCUUGAUAAGCCGGUUGUGAAAGCCCCGGGCUCAACCUGGGAACGGCAUCCGGAACUGGCAAGCUAGAGUGCAGGAGAGGAAGGUAGAAUUCCCGGUGUAGCGGUGAAAUGCGUAGAGAUCGGGAGGAAUACCAGUGGCGAAGGCGGCCUUCUGGACUGACACUGACACUGAGGUGCGAAAGCGUGGGUAGCAAACAGGAUUAGAUACCCUAGUAGUC